CAAAAAUUGAAUAAUUUCAUCUAUAUAAUCCUAAUAAUAUGGUUUGGGAGUUUCUACGAAAGGGCCGUAAAUCCUUUGUCUAUGGGUGAAUCUAUAUGGGGC
RNAcentral lists this non-coding RNA (102 nucleotides) under Clostridium homopropionicum. RNAcentral describes it as "Guanine sequence". It matches the Rfam family "Purine riboswitch aptamer". From Rfam's summary of the family: Riboswitches are metabolite binding domains within certain messenger RNAs that serve as precision sensors for their corresponding targets. Allosteric rearrangement of mRNA structure is mediated by ligand binding, and this results in modulation of gene expression. The record is from RNAcentral. Lineage: Bacteria; Bacillati; Bacillota; Clostridia; Eubacteriales; Clostridiaceae. RNAcentral also lists the same sequence under 1 other name.